GAUGAACGCUGGCGGCGUGCCUAAUACAUGCAAGUCGAGCGAACGGACGAGAAGCUUUCUUUUCUGAUGUUAGCGGCGGACGGGUGAGUAACACGUGGAUAACCUACCUAUAAGACUGGGAUAACUUCGGGAAACCGUAGCUAAUACCGGAUAAUAUUUUGAACCGCAUGGUUCAAAAGUGAAAGACGGUCUUGCUGUCACUUAUAGAUGGAUCCGCGCUGCAUUAGCUAGUUGGUAAGGUAACGGCUUACCAAGGCAACGAUGCAUAGCCGACCUGAGAGGGUGAUCGGCCACACUGGAACUGAGACACGGUCCAGACUCCUACGGGAGGCAGCAGUAGGGAAUCUUCCGCAAUGGGCGAAAGCCUGACGGAGCAACGCCGCGUGAGUGAUGAAGGUCUUCGGAUCGUAAAACUCUGUUAUUAGGGAAGAACAUAUGUGUAAGUAACUGUGCACAUCUUGACGGUACCUAAUCAGAAAGCCACGGCUAACUACGUG
RNAcentral lists this ribosomal RNA (497 nucleotides) under uncultured bacterium. Its description in RNAcentral is "partial 16S ribosomal RNA". It matches the Rfam family "Bacterial small subunit ribosomal RNA", at positions 28 to 507 of the family's 1533-position model. The record is from RNAcentral.